Molecule: ribosomal RNA, 497 nt
Filed under: uncultured bacterium
Lineage: Bacteria
Description: partial 16S ribosomal RNA
Rfam family: Bacterial small subunit ribosomal RNA
Source: RNAcentral
GAUGAACGCUGGCGGCGUGCCUAAUACAUGCAAGUCGAGCGAACAGACGAGGAGCUUGCUCCUCUGACGUUAGCGGCGGACGGGUGAGUAACACGUGGAUAACCUACCUAUAAGACUGGGAUAACUUCGGGAAACCGGAGCUAAUACCGGAUAAUAUAUUGAACCGCAUGGUUCAAUAUUGAAAGACGGUUUUGCUGUCACUUAUAGAUGGAUCCGCGCCGCAUUAGCUAGUUGGUAAGGUAACGGCUUACCAAGGCAACGAUGCGUAGCCGACCUGAGAGGGUGAUCCGCCACACUGGAACUGAGACACGGUCCAGACUCCUACGGGAGGCAGCAGUAGGGAAUCUUCCGCAAUGGGCGAAAGCUUGACGGAGCAACGCCGCGUGAGUGAUGAAGGUCUUCGGAUCGUAAAACUCUGUUAUUAGGGAAGAACAAAUGUGUAAGUAACUAUGCACGUCUUGACGGUACCUAAUCAGAAAGCCACGGCUAACUACGUG